AUGGGGCAGCUUCCCACCAGGCUUGUGCUUCUUCGAUGGGGGCUGAGUGAUCCUCCCUAGCCCUCUUUCAAUUUAUCUUCUCCUUUCACUUCUCCACCAUCCCCUUCUCAUCGGUGAUAUACUCAUCAGCUCGAGUGAGGAGCUCAGAGAAGUCACAAGGAAACUUCUUCGAAAGGAAGAAAUAGAAACUAUUUGCUUUUAGCCCCUUCUUGAG
RNAcentral lists this long non-coding RNA (214 nucleotides) under Elaeis guineensis (African oil palm). RNAcentral describes it as "long non-coding RNA (EGUI_LNC039620)". Lineage: Eukaryota; Viridiplantae; Streptophyta; Magnoliopsida; Arecales; Arecaceae. The record is from RNAcentral.